Molecule: ribosomal RNA, 434 nt
Filed under: uncultured bacterium
Lineage: Bacteria
Description: partial 16S ribosomal RNA
Rfam family: Bacterial small subunit ribosomal RNA
Source: RNAcentral
AGCGAACGCUGGCGGCAGGCCUAACACAUGCAAGUCGAACGAACCUUUCGGGGUUAGUGGCGGACGGGUGAGUAGCACGUGGGAACGUGCCUUUAGGUUCGGAAUAACUCAGGGAAACUUGUGCUAAUACCGAAUGUGCCCUUCGGGGGAAAGAUUAAUCGCCUUUAGAGCGGCCCGCGUCUGAUUAGCUAGUUGGUUGAGGUAAUGGCUCACCAAGGCGACGAUCAGUAGCUGGUCUGAGAGGAUGAUCAGCCACAUUGGGACUGAGACACGGCCCAAACUCCUACGGGAGGCAGCAGUGGGGAAUCUUGCGCAAUGAGCGAAAGCCUGACGCAGCCAUGCCGCGUGAAUGAUGAAGGUCUUAGGAUUGUAAAAUUCUUUCACCGGGGACGAUAAUGACGGUACCCGGAAAAGAAGCCCCGGCUAACUUCGUG